GAAUAGCAAACAAAGAAGUAAUCAAUAUUGUCAAGUUAUAAACAAUACUGUCAAGAAAAGUACAGCAAGACAUUUUUCAGUUCCAGGAACUUCCAGUAUUUUGUCUAUCAUGAGAAACCCCAAGCACUCAAAGAGAUGUAUGACAACAAGUGGCAUACAUAACUCGGGCUUAAAAGGAGCAUCAUAAAUAUAACAAUCAUAAACUACUUCCAUCCAAGAAAAAUAUUUUUCAGCCACAACUAAUCCCAUCACACAUUUGGAAAACAGUCAAGAAAAUGAGGGGAUAAGUAACAGUAUUUUCAUGAGUGACUCAAAGUGUAAAUCCAAAGAAAUAAUUUAAUAGAAAUGGUUGAAACACAAGUGUAAAAACAGAAGGAGAAGCACAUGGAAAAGGGUAGAGCAAUGUCGUUCUGACCAAUCAAGAUUAGACAUUGAUAGAAUCCAUGGAAGACAACAAACUUACAAAGAUCCAACUCAACUGACAAGAUCGCGAGCAAAUAUGAUCAAUGAAGAUAUGCAUUUACUUGUUCAAGUUACAGAGGCCAAGAGUUUGAAGUUAACAAGCCAAACACCAAGUUUCAUGUUGGACAUGAAGGUUGAAACAAGUUGGAUGCAUUGGAAUCAAGAAAAAAAUUGGAAGCUAUAGUAUAAAAACGAGAUGCUAUCACAUGUACUAUUCUCAAUACAAAAAAAUGGAAUUUUUGUUGUUCUAUGCAGUCAUGGGAGUUAUAACCAUGCAAUCAUACAGUUAAUUUUCUGGA
Long non-coding RNA from Olea europaea var. sylvestris, 761 nucleotides. RefSeq lists it as uncharacterized. The record is from RefSeq and is a predicted model, not a curated record. Lineage: Eukaryota; Viridiplantae; Streptophyta; Magnoliopsida; Lamiales; Oleaceae. The transcript has 2 exons.